GGUCAAGAAACUAAGGGCGCAAGGCGGAUGCCUUGGCACCAGGAGGCGAAGAAGGACGUGACAAGCAACGAAAACCUCGAAUAGGAGCAAAUAUCCAGUAACUCGGGGGAAUCCGAAUGGGGAAACCUACUAGACACACUCUAGUAUCCAUACGUAAACACAUAGCGUAUGGAGGCGAAUGUUCUGAACUGAAACAUCUAAGUAGGAACAAGAAAAGAAAGAAAACUCGAUUCUCCAAGUAGCGGCGAGCGAACAGAGAACAGCCCAUUAAAGUAAGACUAAACUGAUAGACAAAUCUUAUGGAAAGAAGAACCAAAGAAAGUAACAGUCUUGUAGUCGAAAUCAGAAUAGAGACACUUUAAGAAGAGUACCACGGAGCACGUGAAAUUCUGUGGGAAGAUAGGGGGACCACCCCCUAAGGCUAAAUACUACCUGGUGACCGAUAGCGAAUAGUACCGUGAGGGAAAGGUGAAAAGAACCCCGGGAGGGGAGUGAAACAGAACCUGAAACCUUGCGCCUACAAGCAGACAGAGGAAGAAGACUUCUAAUGUCGUACUUUUUGUAGAACGGGCCAGCGAGUUACGAUACGUAGCAAGAUUAAACAUUUAAGAUGUGAAGUCGCAGGGAAACCGAGUCUUAAUAGGGCAGAAGUUAUGUGUUGUAGACCCGAAACCGGGUGAUCUAUCCAUGGGCAGAGUGAAGGUAAAGUAAAAUUUACUGGAGGCUCGAACCGGGUAGCGUUUAAAAGCUAUCGGAUGACCUGUGGAUAGGGGUGAAAAGCCAAUCGAACUCGGAUAUAGCUGGUUCUCCUCGAAAUAGCUUUAGGGCUAGCCUUGUUUUAGAUUACAGGAGGUAGAGCACUGAAUAGUCUAGGGGAAGUAAUUCUACCGAAACUUAUCAAACUCCGAAUGCCUGAAAAUCGAUGAACAGGAGUCAGACCAUGAGGGAUAAGCUUCAUAGUCAAAAGGGAAACAGCCCAGACCACCAGUUAAGGUCCCAAAAUACAGAUUAAGUGGGAAAGGAUGUAAUACUACUCAGACAACCAGGAUGUUGGCUCAGAAGCAGCCAUACAUUUAAAGAGUGCGUAAUAGCUCACUGGUCAAGUGGUAAUGCGCCGAAGAUGAACGGGGCUAAAUCUGAUACCGAAACUGUGGGAUAGAAAAGCAAUUAUGCGAGAAGUAUGAAGUUAAGAUUAGGAAAUAUAUCAACUAGUAAAGUAAGAGAGAAAAGACACAAACUAAAACUAUUAAACGAUACAAUUUCUAAAACACUUAACAACAUACAACUGGCAUAAUAGCUUUUCUAUCGGUAGAGGAGCGUUGUAUAUGAGAAGAAGCAAAAAGCGUAAGCAAUUGUGGAUUAUAUACAAGUGAGAAUGCUGGCAUGAGUAGCGAAAAGGGAUGUGAGAAUCAUCCCCGUCGAAAGCCCAAGGAUUCCUGAGCAAGGCUCGUCCUCUCAGGGUAAGUCGGGACCUAAGGCGAGGCCGAAAGGCGUAGUCGAUGGACAACAGGUAGAAAUUCCUGUACUACAAGAUUGUGAUUGAGAGAAGUACUGACGCAGAAGGAAAAGUCGAGCGUGCGAAUGGUUGUGCACGUCCAAAUAACAAGCCAGAAUAUACAGGCAAAUCCGUAUAUUCGUUAACGUAAGUUAUGAUGGGGAGCAGAAAGAUGCGAAGCGACAGAUUCAAACUGCCAAGAAAAGGUGCUAUCGAAUAAUCUUGUACCCGUACCGCAAACCGACACAGGUAGGCAAGAAGAGAAUUCUAAGACGCGCGGAAGAACCUUUGUUAAGGAACUCGGCAAAAUAAUCCCGUAAGUUAGCGAGAAGGGAUGCCUAAGAAAUUAGGUCGCAGAGAAUAGGCCCAAGCGACUGUUUACCAAAAACACAAGUAUCUGCUAAAUCGAAAGAUGAAGUAUAGGUGCUGACACCUGCCCGGUGCUGGAAGGUCAAGGGGACUUGUUAGAGCAAUCGAAGCAACGAACUUAAGCCCCAGUAAACGGCGGCCGUAACUAUAACGGUCCUAAGGUAGCGAAAUUCCUUGUCGGGUAAGUUCCGACCCGCACGAAAGGUGUAACGA
Molecule: ribosomal RNA, 2077 nt
Filed under: Anaerococcus sp.
Lineage: Bacteria; Bacillati; Bacillota; Tissierellia; Tissierellales; Peptoniphilaceae
Description: partial 23S ribosomal RNA
Rfam family: Bacterial large subunit ribosomal RNA
Source: RNAcentral